AACGUCGCCCCCGCUCCCCCG
This 21-nucleotide microRNA is filed under the name Petromyzon marinus (sea lamprey). Its description in RNAcentral is "pma-miR-4600". Lineage: Eukaryota; Metazoa; Chordata; Hyperoartia; Petromyzontiformes; Petromyzontidae. The record is from miRBase by way of RNAcentral.